RNAcentral lists this ribosomal RNA (498 nucleotides) under uncultured bacterium. RNAcentral describes it as "partial 16S ribosomal RNA". It matches the Rfam family "Bacterial small subunit ribosomal RNA", at positions 29 to 523 of the family's 1533-position model. The record is from RNAcentral.
AUUGAACGCUGGCGGCAUGCCUUACACAUGCAAGUCGAACGGUAACGCGGGGCAACCUGGCGACGAGUGGCGAACGGGUGAGUAAUGCAUCGGAACGUGCCCAGAAGUGGGGGAUAGCCCGGCGAAAGCCGGAUUAAUACCGCAUGAGACCUGAGGGUGAAAGCGGGGGAUAGCAAGACCUCGCGCUUUUGGAGCGGCCGAUGUCAGAUUAGCUAGUUGGUGGGGUAAAGGCCUACCAAGGCGACGUUCUGUAGCUGGUUUGAGAGGACGACCAGCCACACUGGGACUGAGACACGGCCCAGACUCCUACGGGAGGCAGCAGUGGGGAAUUUUGGACAAUGGGCGCAAGCCUGAUCCAGCCAUGCCGCGUGCGGGAAGAAGGCCUUCGGGUUGUAAACCGCUUUUGUCAGGGAAGAAACGCUCUGGGCUAAUACCCUGGGGUAAUGACGGUACCUGAAGAAUAAGCACCGGCUAACUACGUGCCAGCCGCCGCGGUAA